RNAcentral lists this ribosomal RNA (448 nucleotides) under uncultured bacterium. Its description in RNAcentral is "bacterial SSU rRNA". It matches the Rfam family "Bacterial small subunit ribosomal RNA", at positions 330 to 793 of the family's 1533-position model. The record is from RNAcentral.
UCCAGACUCCUACGGGAGGCAGCAGUGGGGGAUAUUGCACAAUGGGGGGAACCCUGAUGCAGCGACGCCGCGUGAGGGAAGACGGUUUUCGGAUUGUAAACCUCUGUCUUUAGGGACGAAACAAAUGACGGUACCUAAAGAGGAAGCCACAGCUAACUACGUGCCAGCAGCCGCGGUAAUACGUAGGAUGCGAGCGUUAUCCGGAUUUAUUGGGUUUAAAGGGUGCGUAGGCGGACGCUUAAGUCAGCGGUAAAAUGGCGGGGCUCAACCUCGGCGAGCCGUUGAAACUGGGUGCCUUGAGUGAGCGAGAAGUAUGCGGAAUGCGUGGUGUAGCGGUGAAAUGCAUAGAUAUCACGCAGAACUCCGAUUGCGAAGGCAGCAUACCGGCGCUCAACUGACGCUCAUGCACGAAAGUGUGGGUAUCGAACAGGAUUAGAUACCCCAGUAC